This is a long non-coding RNA of Pocillopora verrucosa, 354 nucleotides long. RefSeq lists it as uncharacterized. NCBI's taxonomy places the organism in Eukaryota, Metazoa, Cnidaria, Anthozoa, Scleractinia, Pocilloporidae. The record is from RefSeq and is a predicted model, not a curated record.
ACGAACUACACGAAAUUUGAGCGUCUUUUAGAGCUUCUACGGAGCUUUACGUCAUUUCGACCUUAUUAAAUUGGAUAUUGCCUGUUCUGUCCGAGUCGGCGAAUGCUUCCUAAGCUGGUCCAAAUGGUUUUGAUGCUUUGUCGAGGAUUCUUACUUUUCAGUUCGUCUCGACUUUUGUUCAGGACAGUUUCAAGAAGAAAGUGAGAACACCUCCAAAUCAAGAAAGUCAAGGAAGGAGAGAAAUACUCUGACAACGUCAAACAAGACUGACAGGCGAAUAUCUUUAAUGCUUCAAGCAAGAAUCACACAAGAAAGGCUAUGAUCCGAGUAAAAUAUACGAUUUCAAAAACAGAG